GAGACUCUGUGCGCGUGCAUAUCAAUAAGCGGAGGAAAAGAAACUAACAUAGGAUUCCCUCAGUAACGGCGAGUGAAGCGGGAAGAGCUCAAAUUUGAAAUCUUCAAGGUUCUACCUUGACGAAUUGUAGUUUAAAGAAGUGUUUUCUGUUGGAGUUUUGGUAAAAGUUCUUUGGAAUAGGGACAUCAUAGAGGGUGAGAAUCCCGUAUUUGACCAUUAUUUCCAGCUGUGUGAUACACUUUCAAAGAGUCGGAUUGUUUGGGAAUGCAGUCCAAAAUGGGUGGUAAAUUUCAUCUAAAGCUAAAUACUGGCGAGAGACCGAUAGCGAACAAGUACCGUGAGGGAAAGAUGAAAAGAACUUUGAAAAGAGAGUUAAACAGUACGUGAAAUUGUCAAAAGGGAAGCGUUUGACACCAGUGUUGUUUUCUCGAAAAUCAAUUAAAAAUGCUGGGAUUUUGUGUUGUAUCGACCUUUAAUCAGCUUUCUUCACUCUUUUCCUGUCUUUUUUAAUGCACUUUUCGUUUAACAAGUCAACAUCAGUUUCUUUUGUUGUAAAAGGGUCAUUGGAAGGUGGCUUUCUUUUCGGAGAAAGUGUUUAUAGCCUUUGCUCUCUGCAAUCGGAGAGAUUGAGGUCUGCAGCGUAGAUCCCUUCGGGGUUAGAUGCAUUUGUGCUAAGCUAUAGCCUUUCAUAGACAACUUGUUGACUAUGAUCAGUCAUGUAGCUUACUCGCUUAUGUCAUUUUACCUACGCUUAGGAUGUUGACAGCAGUAUAGACUGU
This 779-nucleotide ribosomal RNA is filed under the name uncultured Neocallimastigales. RNAcentral's name for it is "partial large subunit ribosomal RNA". It matches the Rfam family "Eukaryotic large subunit ribosomal RNA", at positions 23 to 634 of the family's 3401-position model. The record is from RNAcentral. Lineage: Eukaryota; Fungi; Neocallimastigomycota; Neocallimastigomycetes; Neocallimastigales.